ACUAUGGAUCCUCCAAAAAAUGAAUUUUGGAUCCAUCACCAAGCUUAAAAGAGAGACACUUCCAAAAAGCAUUGAGAUGUUUACACACAUCCUUCUAAAUUGGAGAUAUUUUCUUAGGAUUUCUCCUUGACAUCAAGCCAAAUGUUUUCUUCUUGUAAUAGGCAUUUCUGAUUUGCUUCCACCAUGGGAAGGUAGAUCCAACAGUAAAUUUCUUAGCCCAUUUGGUCA
This 228-nucleotide long non-coding RNA is filed under the name Elaeis guineensis (African oil palm). RNAcentral describes it as "long non-coding RNA (EGUI_LNC046928)". Lineage: Eukaryota; Viridiplantae; Streptophyta; Magnoliopsida; Arecales; Arecaceae. The record is from RNAcentral.